RNAcentral lists this ribosomal RNA (484 nucleotides) under uncultured bacterium. Its description in RNAcentral is "bacterial SSU rRNA". It matches the Rfam family "Bacterial small subunit ribosomal RNA", at positions 31 to 509 of the family's 1533-position model. The record is from RNAcentral.
GAACGCUGGCGGCGUGCCUAACACAUGCAAGUCGAACGGAGAUAAACGCUGAUGAUUUAGCUUGCUAGAGAAUCUUGUUUAUCUUAGUGGCGGACGGGUGAGUAACGCGUGAGCAACCUGCCUUUCAGAGGGGGAUAACGUCUUGAAAAGGACGCUAAUACCGCAUGACAUUGCGAGAUCACAUGGUUUUGCAAUCAAAGGAGCAAUCCGCUGAAAGAUGGGCUCGCGUCCGAUUAGGUAGUUGGUGAGAUAACAGCCCACCAAGCCGACGAUCGGUAGCCGGACUGAGAGGUUGAACGGCCACAUUGGGACUGAGACACGGCCCAGACUCCUACGGGAGGCAGCAGUGAGGGAUAUUGGUCAAUGGGGGAAACCCUGAACCAGCAACGCCGCGUGAGGGAUGACGGUCUUCGGAUUGUAAACCUCUGUCCUCUGUGAAGAUAAUGACGGUAGCAGAGGAGGAAGCUCCGGCUAACUACGUGCC